RNAcentral lists this ribosomal RNA (495 nucleotides) under uncultured bacterium. RNAcentral's name for it is "bacterial SSU rRNA". It matches the Rfam family "Bacterial small subunit ribosomal RNA", at positions 28 to 517 of the family's 1533-position model. The record is from RNAcentral.
GAUGAACGCUAGCUACAGGCUUAACACAUGCAAGUCGAGGGGCAGCGACUAGGUAGCAAUACUGAGGUGGCGACCGGCGCACGGGUGCGUAACGCGUAUCCAACCUUCCCGUUACUCUUGGAUAGCCUUCCGAAAGGGAGAUUAAUACAAGAUGGUAUUCAAAUUCCGCAUGUUAUUUGAAUUAAAGAUUUAUCGGUAACGGAUGGGGAUGCGUGACAUUAGAUAGUAGGCGGGGUAACGGCCCACCUAGUCUACGAUGUCUAGGGGUUCUGAGAGGAAGGUCCCCACACUGGAACUGAGACACGGUCCAGACUCCUACGGGAGGCAGCAGUGAGGAAUAUUGGUCAAUGGUCGAGAGACUGAACCAGCCAUGCCGCGUGAAGGUCACGGCCCUAUGGGUCUUAAACUUCUUUUGCAAGGAGGCAAUAAGUACUCACGUGUGGGAUGAUGANAGACCUUGCGAAUAAGCAUCGGCUAACUCCGUGCCAGCAGCCG